ACCUGCUAGCCGCAGUAUUUUGACUGUGCUAAGGUAGCAUAAUCAUUAGUCUUUUAAUUGGAGGCUGGUAUGAAUGGUAAGACGAGAAAGAAACUGUCUACGAAAUUCAUUUUUUAGUGAAAAAGCUAAAAUAAUUCUAAGGGACGAUCAGACCCUAUGGAGCUUUUUUGUUGGGGCGACAAUUAUUGAUCCCCCGGGUGGGAUUAAAAGAAUAAGUUACCCUAGGGAUAACAGCGUAAUUUUUUUGGAGAGUUCAGAUCGAUAAAAAAGUUUGCGACCUCGAUGUUGGAUUAGGAAUUUAGUUAGGUGCAGAUGUUUAACUGUAGAGUCUGUUCGACUUUUGAAUCCUA
Molecule: ribosomal RNA, 350 nt
Filed under: Bosmina sp. 1 JRdW-2005
Lineage: Eukaryota; Metazoa; Arthropoda; Branchiopoda; Diplostraca; Bosminidae
Description: partial 16S ribosomal RNA
Rfam family: Bacterial large subunit ribosomal RNA
Source: RNAcentral